Molecule: transfer RNA, 69 nt
Filed under: Ictidomys tridecemlineatus (thirteen-lined ground squirrel)
Lineage: Eukaryota; Metazoa; Chordata; Mammalia; Rodentia; Sciuridae
Description: Spermophilus tridecemlineatus (thirteen-lined ground squirrel) tRNA
Rfam family: tRNA
About the family: Transfer RNA (tRNA) molecules are approximately 80 nucleotides in length. Their secondary structure includes four short double-helical elements and three loops (D, anti-codon, and T loops).
Source: Rfam by way of RNAcentral
GGGGUUGUGGCUCAGUGGUAGAGUGCUCACCUAGCAUGUGGGAGGCACUGGGUUCGACUCUCAGCACCA